AUCGUUGAUCUGGGUGAGAGAUACGCGUAUCCAAUGCUUAGAUACGGGUCGCUCUCACCUAGGCUAGUGUUGC
RNAcentral lists this microRNA precursor (73 nucleotides) under Phaseolus vulgaris (common bean). RNAcentral's name for it is "MIR4416 microRNA precursor family". It matches the Rfam family "MIR4416 microRNA precursor family". Lineage: Eukaryota; Viridiplantae; Streptophyta; Magnoliopsida; Fabales; Fabaceae. The record is from Rfam by way of RNAcentral.